Molecule: transfer RNA, 73 nt
Filed under: Acidobacteriota bacterium
Lineage: Bacteria; Pseudomonadati; Acidobacteriota
Description: Acidobacteria bacterium tRNA-Gln
Rfam family: tRNA
About the family: Transfer RNA (tRNA) molecules are approximately 80 nucleotides in length. Their secondary structure includes four short double-helical elements and three loops (D, anti-codon, and T loops).
Source: RNAcentral
UGGGGAGUGGUGUAACUGGCUAGCACGGAUCCCUUUGGAGGAUCAGGACCGGGUUCGAUCCCUGGCUCCCCAG